UCAGAGAGCUAUGUAGUUGCUUUUUAAAGAGGAAAGUCCGGGCUCUAUAGAAAUAAGGUGCUGGAUAACCUCCAGCAGGGGCAACCCUAGGGAAAGUGCCGCAGAAAAUAUACCGCCAAUUUGGUAAGGGUGAAAAGGUGUGGUAAGAGCACACCGCAUUUUUAGUAAUAAAAAUGGCAUGGCAAACCCCACCUAGAGCAAGACCAAAUAGAAGAAACUUGUUUUGAAUUUCUACAAAGUUUCUUGGGUAGGUCGCUAGAAAAAUUUGGUAACAAAUUUUCAAGAUUAAUAACUACAAUCAUAAUUUUUUGAUACAAAACCCGGCUUAUCGCUCUCUGACACA
RNAcentral lists this RNase P RNA (343 nucleotides) under Alphaproteobacteria bacterium TMED199. RNAcentral describes it as "RNase P RNA component class A". It matches the Rfam family "Bacterial RNase P class A". Rfam says of the family: Ribonuclease P (RNase P) is a ubiquitous endoribonuclease, found in archaea, bacteria and eukarya as well as chloroplasts and mitochondria. Lineage: Bacteria; Pseudomonadati; Pseudomonadota; Alphaproteobacteria. The record is from RNAcentral.